AGGGCACCACCAGGAGUGGAGCCUGCGGCUUAAUUUGACUCAACACGGGAAAACUCACCCGGCCCGGACACUGGAAGGAUUGACAGAUUGAGAGCUCUUUCUUGAUUCAGUGGGUGGUGGUGCAUGGCCGUUCUUAGUUGGUGGAGCGAUUUGUCUGGUUAAUUCCGAUAACGAACGAGACUCUAGCCUACUAAAUAGAUCGUCGGCUUACAAACGCCGACGAGACUUCUUAGAGGGACAGGCGGCGAUUCAGCCGCACGAAACAGAGCAAUAACAGGUCUGUGAUGCCCUUAGAUGUCCGGGGCCGCACGCGCGCUACACUGAAGUGAUCAGCGUGCUUUUUCAACCUACUCUGUCAAGAGUGGGGAACCCAAUGAACCUUCUUCGUGAUUGGGAUAGGGGAUUGUAAUUAUUCCCCUUGAACGAGGAAUUCCCAGUAAGCGCGAGUCAUAAGCUCGCGUUGAUUACGUCCCUGCCCUUUGUACACACCGCCCGUCGCUACUACCGAUUGAAUGUUUU
RNAcentral lists this ribosomal RNA (519 nucleotides) under uncultured eukaryote. RNAcentral describes it as "SSU rRNA". It matches the Rfam family "Eukaryotic small subunit ribosomal RNA", at positions 1161 to 1699 of the family's 1831-position model. The record is from RNAcentral.